Long non-coding RNA from Pundamilia nyererei, 1310 nucleotides. RefSeq lists it as uncharacterized. The record is from RefSeq and is a predicted model, not a curated record. The transcript is spliced from 4 exons. Lineage: Eukaryota; Metazoa; Chordata; Actinopteri; Cichliformes; Cichlidae.
CCAAAACAAAAAGGAAGAGGAGGAAAUAAAGGAGGAAGAAAAGAAUGCAGAGAACCUGUACUGUGGAGGAAGCAGUGACGAGGAAGAGGAGGCUGAUGGUCUUGAGAUCCUUAUGGAAGCUCCAGAAGGAUUUAGGAACUCUGAUGAAGAUCGUUUCUCUGAAUCACAGGAGUCGAGCGUGGGUGACGUGCAGGAUUUGGGUCAUAUAGAAAUUUCUGAGGGUAAGGAAGAGGAGCACAGCGAGGGAGGCGAGGAUGACGGAAAGGAUCAGGAAGAGGGUUGUUCUAGUCCCAGCCAGGUGGACCUACCUGACUUCGAGUGAGACCACGGAUCUACACUUAAACCAUUUCUCCCACUCUGGUGCCAUCUGUGUCCCUCUUACACUUCAGGAUUGGAGGCCUUGAGGAUGUUCCACUUACUGCUCAGACAAACAGGCUCCUCCCAAUCACGGUGGAGUUUGUGCACAUAUUCGCCUUGUUCUCACCAGGAAUGAUAAACCUCGAGGUUUCUAUACCUCAGUCGUGACUGUAAACACACACACAUACACACACACACACACACACUUCCUCCUCUUCGUCCUCUGACAGUAAUCAUACUUUGAACGCAGACUUUAUCAUGUGCUCUGGGUUAAAGUGGGACCCCACUUAAGUUUACACUUUCAUAAACUGCUCCUGUCAUGUGAAAAAAAACAUUUCAGGAACAGCUUAAAAAGCGGCCUUUUUUGUUUUUUUUAAGUGAUCUAAUCAUUUUCAGGUGGUUUUAUAAUUUCAAGUUGAUGUUUUUCAAGCUACAGAGACGCAUACAAUCAGCUACCAAGAUGCAUUAUAGUGACUUCAGAAAAAAAAAGAAAAAAGAGAGAGUAUUUGUGGAUAUGGAAGAACUACCGAGGUAUUGAUGUUCAGUGUUAACUCUCUGCACAGCCCGGAGCUCUUUCAUUGCGAGACAGGGCUUCUUGAGCAUGUGAUGUUUGUCUGAAGACAUGAAGUCAUUUCCAAAGCAGCAAUGUACCCUGAAAGUGAGAAUUUUAGGCUUUCAGAGACAGUUAAUGUUUAGAAACACACUCGGAGUGAAUUUAAAGGUCAAAAUCGUACCAGCGCCUAAGCUGUUAUUAGAAAUGAACACUUGAAGGAUAGCAGAAGUGCGAAACUGUAUUUAAACCUGCAUGUGUAGCUGCCUCACACACACAUACAUACACACACACACCGCCAGCAUGUCUGCAUUACAAAGCUCAGCUGAUCAGUUUAGGUGUGUAAGCUAUGCUCCGCUCUGAGAAAGCCAUCCGGUCUGUGACUGUGUCAAAAAAAAAAAAA